GAUGAACGCUGGCGGCGUGCCUAACACAUGCAAGUCGAGCGAUUUACUUCGGUAAAGAGCGGCGGACGGGUGAGUAACGCGUGGGUAACCUGCCCUGUACACACGGAUAACAUACCGAAAGGUAUGCUAAUACGGGAUAAUAUGCUUUAGUCGCAUGGCUGAAGUAUCAAAGCUCCGGCGGUACAGGAUGGACCCGCGUCUGAUUAGCUAGUUGGUAAGGUAACGGCUUACCAAGGCGACGAUCAGUAGCCGACCUGAGAGGGUGAUCGGCCACAUUGGAACUGAGACACGGUCCAAACUCCUACGGGAGGCAGCAGUGGGGAAUAUUGCACAAUGGGCGAAAGCCUGAUGCAGCAACGCCGCGUGAGUGAUGAAGGCCUUCGGGUCGUAAAGCUCUGUCCUCAAGGAAGAUAGUGACGGUACUUGAGGAGGAAGCCCCGGCUAACUACGUGCCAGCAGCCGCCGUAA
RNAcentral lists this ribosomal RNA (468 nucleotides) under uncultured bacterium. RNAcentral describes it as "partial 16S ribosomal RNA". It matches the Rfam family "Bacterial small subunit ribosomal RNA", at positions 28 to 523 of the family's 1533-position model. The record is from RNAcentral.